RNAcentral lists this ribosomal RNA (375 nucleotides) under uncultured organism. RNAcentral's name for it is "partial 16S ribosomal RNA". It matches the Rfam family "Bacterial small subunit ribosomal RNA", at positions 527 to 897 of the family's 1533-position model. The record is from RNAcentral.
GUAGGUGGCAAGCGUUGUCCGGGAAUUAUUGGGCGUAAAGCGCGCGCAGGCGGUCCUUUAAGUCUGAUGUGAAAGCCCACGGGCUCAACCGUGGAGGGUCAUUGGAAACUGGGGGACUUGAGUACAGAAGAGGAAAGCGGAAUUCCAAGUGUAGCGGUGAAAUGCGUAGAGAUUUGGAGGAACACCAGUGGCGAAGGCGGCUUUCUGGUCUGUAACUGACGCUGAGGCGCGAAAGCGUGGGGAGCAAACAGGAUUAGAUACCCUGGUAGUCCACGCCGUAAACGAUGAGUGCUAAGUGUUAGGGGGUUUCCGCCCCUUAGUGCUGCAGCUAACGCAUUAAGCACUCCGCCUGGGGAGUACGGCCGCAAAGGCUGA